GAAAUAUUUGUUUAUUUUUCUUUAAAAACUGUUGAGAAAAAUGGGUAUAAAUACUUGAUUCUUCGUAGUAAUCGAUAUAUUACUUUCGAAUAAGUUGGAAAUUUCAACACUUCACUCGCACUUCAUUAAUUAUCUACUAUUCAUUUCAAUAUGAAUUUUAAAUUGACUUUCCUGAUUGUAUUAAUCGCAAUAUUAUCAUCCGUUGCUUUCGUCCGAGGAUGUGGGCAGGAGAAUUCUGUCUGUUCUCACCAAUCGGAUUGUUGUGACAACUUGUUUUGUUUCGCAGGUGCACAUUCAAAUUUUUGCAAAAAAUAAUAACACAUGAAUCUAUAAAAUUUGAAUGAAAUAAUGAGUAAAAUUAAAAUUGCGAAAUAAACGUAUAAUUUGUAACCUCAAAUGUUCACUUCAAUAAUUAUACUUAUUAUAUUCAAU
This is a long non-coding RNA of Microplitis mediator, 432 nucleotides long. RefSeq lists it as uncharacterized. The transcript has 3 exons. Lineage: Eukaryota; Metazoa; Arthropoda; Insecta; Hymenoptera; Braconidae. The record is from RefSeq and is a predicted model, not a curated record.